ACCUCUCCUCCCAGGAUUUUAGCUAGCACCUGACCCAGCCCUUUACUUCACAGGCCCGGGGAUUUGCCCGAACUUACAGUGCUGUGGGGUGGAGUCAGAAUCCCAGCUCCAGUCCCUUGGUAUAUGCUUUCCUCUGCCCGGCCAGGGCCCUGCAACUCCUCUUUGUUCCUGGUAAACUGACACAGGUAGAACUUUGGGGAGAAGGUCCGCAGUGCCGUCACCUCUGUGGGUGCAUAACUCCCUCUUGGUGUUGCAGUUUCUCUUCCAGGUGAGAUGCCUUAGGAAGUGCGCUUACUUGUUGGAGUCUUGCCACCGUCUCCCCCUGGGUGACUCCGAGGAGCUUACGGGUGAGCCGGUGAGAGCACAGUGGCGCCUGCCUUGAGGCUGUCUGGAAGGUCAGGCUGGGCCAGCAGGUUACUCAUUCAGCACAUGUUUAUGGAGUCUGACGCCCAGACCUGGAGGUUACUGUGAGUGAACUCCGUGACAAGACCACACCUUACUACAAGUCUUGAGGAAUGCAGUCCCUACCUGGGCAACCACACACCACGCCAUGACUCUGUCAUUAUGGGAGAAGAGAAUGGACACUACAUUGCCGUAAUAAACCUUACCCAUGACUACAACUAUAUGCCGAAUCCUAGCUUUUUCAUCAGCUGAGGGAACAAACACGGAUAUGUGGAGCCGGGCCCUUAGACACUGCUUGAGGCAGGAAUUGGUAUCUUGUUGCAUGAGACGCAGUGGAUGUGAAGCAGGUAAAAAGCCAAGCUCAGUGACACCAUCCUGCAGGCUGGCUGCUGUCGGUUGCUAUCGAUAAGGAUCAGCUUGUAUUUUGAAGCAUCGAUCAAGACUGGAGAUCUAAAAUGAUAGUUUCUGAGCUUGAAAAUCUUCCCCAUUCUCCAUCCUAAGAAUUAUCUUUGCUCAAUUGGAGUUAAAGUCCCUACUGCAUAAGAGGGGAAAGGCAACAAGUGGUUUGGGGGUCCCUAAAAGGCAUCAGGAGCUUCUUUUA
Molecule: long non-coding RNA, 1003 nt
Organism: Ailuropoda melanoleuca (giant panda)
Lineage: Eukaryota; Metazoa; Chordata; Mammalia; Carnivora; Ursidae
Exons: 3
Source: RefSeq, a predicted model, not a curated record